CUUCCCCAAGCUCGGUUGGCCCUGUUCCUCCUCCCCUUCGCUAGCAGCUGCGCCUAGCCCGGGACUGGACCGAGUUAGAGUUGAGGCGCCGGAGGAGUAGCGCAGAGUGCGUGCGUCCCCCGCGGGGGGGUCCGUGCCUGCGAGCGGCGGGGAGCCGGGCUCCAGCCUAGUUUGGUGCAGCCUUGGCAGAGACCGACAAGGAGAGGGAGCUCUAUUAACACACUGUUUUUGUGGAGGGCGGCAAGUUGAUACAAGAAGAGCAGGUUCCCCAAAGAGAGCAGGGGAAAAGUCUUGGAGUAACUUAUUAAGGUAAACAGAUUGCAGUGGAUUUCUGAAUGGGUAAGUGUUGAUGAGCAGGAUUUUUCUGCUUCUGCUAUUCACUUUUUUCUUUAUAAAUUCUUUUUAAAGAAAUACACAGAAGGCUGCUUCUAGCUUUGCGCAGAGGUUCAGUGGUAUCCC
Molecule: long non-coding RNA, 459 nt
Filed under: Apteryx rowi (Okarito brown kiwi)
Lineage: Eukaryota; Metazoa; Chordata; Aves; Apterygiformes; Apterygidae
Description: lncRNA (ENSARWG00000013539.1)
Source: RNAcentral